AAAAAGGGUGUUCGCCACUUUCAUGGUGCAUGGGCCUUAACGGCUCGUGGGGUAUGGCUAUCAAGACAUACCCAACACGUAAUUUUUGUAUUUGUGGGGCAGUUGGCUGCCAAUAAGCACUGACGCCCCC
Schistocerca americana (American grasshopper) is the source of this 130-nucleotide small nuclear RNA. RefSeq annotates it as U11 spliceosomal RNA. The transcript has a single exon. Lineage: Eukaryota; Metazoa; Arthropoda; Insecta; Orthoptera; Acrididae. The record is from RefSeq and is a predicted model, not a curated record.